RNAcentral lists this ribosomal RNA (439 nucleotides) under uncultured bacterium. RNAcentral describes it as "partial 16S ribosomal RNA". It matches the Rfam family "Bacterial small subunit ribosomal RNA", at positions 339 to 795 of the family's 1533-position model. The record is from RNAcentral.
CUACGGGUUGCUCCAGUGAGGAAUAUUGCACAAUGGGGGGAACCCUGAUGCAGCAACGCCGCGUGGAGGAUGACGCAUUUCGGUGUGUAAACUCCUUUUAUAUGUCAAGAAAAUGACGGUAGCAUAUGAAUAAGCACCGGCUAACUCCGUGCCAGCAGCCGCGGUAAUACGGAGGGUGCAAGCGUUACUCGGAAUCACUGGGCGUAAAGGACGCGUAGGCGGGUUGGAAAGUCAGGUGUGAAAUCCUACAGCUUAACUGUAGAACUGCACUUGAAACUUCUAAUCUAGAGUAUGGGAGAGGGGGAUGGAAUUAGUGGUGUAGGGGUAAAAUCCGUAGAUAUCACUAGGAAUACCUAAAGCGAAGGCGAUCUCCUGGAACAUUACUGACGCUAAGGCGUGAAAGCGUGGGGAGCAAACAGGAUUAGAUACCCGCGUAGUC